UUGGUUAAGUUAGAAAGGGCGCACGGUGGAUGCCUUGGCACUAGGAGCCGAAGAAGGACGGGACUAACACCGAUAUGCUUUGGGGAGCUGUACGUAAGCGUUGAUCCAGAGAUUUCCGAAUGGGGGAACCCACUAUCUUUAGUCGGAUAGUAUCCUUACGUGAAUACAUAGCGUGAGGAAGGCAGACCCAGGGAACUGAAACAUCUAAGUACCUGGAGGAAGAGAAAGAAAAAUCGAUUUCCUGAGUAGCGGCGAGCGAAACGGAAAGAGCCCAAACCAAGAAGCUUGCUUCUUGGGGUUGUAGGACACUCUAUACGGAGUUACAAAAGAAAGUUAUAAAUGAAGCGGUCUGGAAAGGCCCGCCAAAGACGGUAACAGCCCGGUAGUUGAAAUGGCUUUCCCUCCAGAGUGGAUCCUGAGUACGGCGGAACACGUGAAAUUCCGUCGGAAUCCGGGAGGACCAUCUCCCAAGGCUAAAUACUCCCUAGUGACCGAUAGUGAACCAGUACCGUGAGGGAAAGGUGAAAAGCACCCCGGAAGGGGAGUGAAACAGUUCCUGAAACCGUGUGCCUACAAGUAGUUAGAGCCCGUUAAUGGGUGAUAGCGUGCCUUUUGUAGAAUGAACCGGCGAGUUACGAUUUGUUGCAAGGUUAAGCGGAAAAAGCGGAGCCGUAGCGAAAGCGAGUCUGAAUAGGGCGCAUAAGUAACAGGUCGUAGACCCGAAACCAGGUGAUCUACCCAUGUCCAGGAUGAAGGUAAGGUAAUACUUACUGGAGGUCCGAACCCACGCACGUUGAAAAGUGCGGGGAUGAGGUGUGGGUAGCGGAGAAAUUCCAAUCGAACUUGGAGAUAGCUGGUUCUCUCCGAAAUAGCUUUAGGGCUAGCCUCGAGGUAAAGAGUCAUGGAGGUAGAGCACUGUUUGGACUAGGGGCCCUUCUCGGGUUACCGAAUUCAGAUAAACUCCGAAUGCCAUGUACUUAUACUCGGGAGUCAGACUGCGAGUGAUAAGAUCCGUAGUCGAAAGGGAAACAGCCCAGACCACCAGUUAAGGUCCCCAAAUAUAUGUUAAGUGGAAAAGGAUGUGGGGUUGCUUAGACAACCAGGAUGUUGGCUUAGAAGCAGCCACCAUUGAAAGAGUGCGUAAUAGCUCACUGGUCGAGUGACCCCGCGCCGAAAAUGUACCGGGGCUAAACAUAUUACCGAAACUGUGGAUGAACCUCUUUAGAGGUU
Molecule: ribosomal RNA, 1230 nt
Filed under: Listeria monocytogenes
Lineage: Bacteria; Bacillati; Bacillota; Bacilli; Caryophanales; Listeriaceae
Description: partial 23S ribosomal RNA
Rfam family: Bacterial large subunit ribosomal RNA
Source: RNAcentral